RNAcentral lists this ribosomal RNA (460 nucleotides) under uncultured bacterium. RNAcentral's name for it is "partial 16S ribosomal RNA". It matches the Rfam family "Bacterial small subunit ribosomal RNA", at positions 338 to 795 of the family's 1533-position model. The record is from RNAcentral.
CCUACGGGAGGCAGCAGUGAGGAAUAUUGGUCAAUGGGCGAGAGCCUGAACCAGCCAAGUCGCGUGAAGGAUGAAGGAUCUAUGGUUUGUAAACUUCUUUUAUAUGGGAAUAAAGUGCGGCACGUGUUCCUUUUUGUAUGUACCAUAUGAAUAAGCAUCGCCUCACUCCGUUCCAGCAGCAGCGGUAAUACGGAGGAUGCGAGCGUUAGCCGGAUUUAUUGGGUUUAAAGGGUGCGUAGGUGGUUAAUUAAGUCAGCGGUGAAAGUUUGUGGCUCAACCAUAAAAUUGCCGUUGAAUCUGGUUGACUUGAGGAUAUUUGAGGUAGGCGGAAUGCGUGGUGUAGCGGUGAAAUGCAUAGAUAUCACGCAGAAUUCCGAUUGCGAAGGCAGCAUACCGGCGCGCAACUGACGCUCAUGUACGAAAGCGUGGGUAUCGAACAGGAUUAGAUACCCUUGUAGUC